AUUGAACGCUGGCGGAAUGCUUUACACAUGCAAGUCGAACGGUAGAGGGGGCAACCCCUUGAGAGUGGCGAACGGGUGAGUAAUAUAUCGGAACGUGCCCAGUCGUGGGGAUAACGUAGCGAAAGUUACGCUAAUACCGCAUACGAUCUAAGGAUGAAAGCGGGGGAUCGCAAGACCUCGCGCGAUUGGAGCGGCCGAUAUCAGAUUAGGUAGUUGGUGUGGUAAAGGCUCACCAAGCCAACGAUCUGUAGCUGGUCUGAGAGGACGACCAGCCACACUGGAACUGAGACACGGUCCAGACUCCUACGGGAGGCAGCAGUGGGGAAUUUUGGACAAUGGACGCAAGUCUGAUCCAGCCAUUCCGCGUGCAGGAUGAAGGCCCUCGGGUUGUAAACUGCUUUGUACGGAAGAAACGGUGAGCUCUAAUACAGUUUGCUAAUGACGGUACCGUAAG
RNAcentral lists this ribosomal RNA (454 nucleotides) under uncultured bacterium. RNAcentral describes it as "bacterial SSU rRNA". It matches the Rfam family "Bacterial small subunit ribosomal RNA", at positions 30 to 484 of the family's 1533-position model. The record is from RNAcentral.